GGAAUAUCUCAGAAGCAGAGUUUAAUCACUGUGGCAGAAGGGGCUCUUUCAGAAGAGCACGUCCACCCUGGGAACACGCAGCCUCUGCACACUGCAGAGCGGAAGGAGGAGGGCAAGCCCCACUCUCCAGAAGCACAGCGAGCUCCUUAUGUCCUCGAAGAGCUCAGAAGAUGCUGAGCAGAUGAAACACUGUCCUGCUGGUCACAGACCUCAGCUGGAGCCUGUUGUUAGGGUCAGCAAAAAUGCACCAAGAGGUUUGAAGGGUUAAAGGUGAUCCUGAACAGGAAAGAUGUUUGCUCCCUCCUUCCCACCCCACCUUUAAAAUGCUGUGAAGGUCAUGGUUUGGGGUUUAAGAUGCUUCACUGGAGUCUACAGAGGGUUAGCAGUGGCCAUCCCAUAGCAGCACUGCCUGAUGUGGAGGACUUCAGAAGAGGCUGAUGUGGAGGACUUCACUGAGUCACUGUGUUGGAGAUGCCUUUAACCAGACACACACAGCUACCUGCACAGCUCCUGCAUGUGCACAGAGAAACAAGACAGGUAGGAUAUUAGAUCUCAUGAUACAAAAUUCAAGUUUGCAUGCUCAUUCUUUUGUUUCCGUGUCAUGGUGGCAAGCAGGGAAGAAGACAGCCAUGGAACAUUUUGUCUUUGGUUGCAAAGGAAGUGCAACACUCAAGACUGCUGCAUCUUAAUGCAACCAAAGCAUCUAAUUAACAGUCUGACGGGGACCACAUCUUGUGUCGUGAUGCAGUCCCAGCGGGGAGAAUGUUGCCUUUGCAAACUACACACUGAGAAGUGCUUGAGGGCUCAAGCCAAAGGAGACCUCAGUGAGAGAUCUGUGCUAACUGAAAAUCUACACCUAGAAGUCUUUUUGUUGUUGUUGUUGUUGUUGUUGUUUUUAAAUUUCAUAUGGCUAAUUGACAGACUUAAUUUCGGAAUAUAGAAAUUAAUAGAAAUUAUAGAAAUUACAAAUGCUGGGAAAGAUGGUCCAGUGAGUAAAGCACGUACAUGGAAGAUAUCAGAAGACAGUGGAUGACGUGACUGUCCAAAAAUGUGCUUUUCAACAUGCUCAUGCUAAUGCACAUGUGUAAUUUCCACACAUGCAAGCAAGAAAGCAAAGCGGUGGAGCAAAUGCACUCAAUUACUUCUCUGCCUCAGACUCCGUGUUGUGACCUUGGGUAAAUGAUAUAAGCCCAGACCUUCCACAGUCUAAACAUCUUUCAGCAUGUGGACCCUAAUCUCUGAACCUCAGCACUCUGUCUGCAAAGCGCCCUAAUCUCUGCUCUCCCACCUUUGGACAGGUUGUGCAAAGUCUAAGGUCCUUGAAUAACUACCAGCAGCAGGGCUUGAUCUCCUGCAUGCCUUAUCCCUUGUCAGAACAACUUCCAAAGCUCACCACACUAACUCUUUAUGUCAUCACACAAUACCUUGUGCAACCUGGUUUCUACUCUGUCAUCUGUACCAAAUACAUAACUUCAUAGCAACUGUUAAAGGAAUAAGAGGGGCUGUGCUGGAGACAAAACCCACAGUCUUUGUUCCACCAUAAAUGCAUUUGCAUUGUAAUCCAAAGAUGUGACAGAAGCUUGUAAGAGUGUGCUAGCUCAAACCAAAAGCCCUCCCAUUUCCAUGUACCAUGUUUCACGGUAGCUGUAAGAUAAUUUGUAAGCACAAAUGAUAAGCAUGUGACCAUCUCCUACUCAGGGGCUUCCUUUCUACAUUGCUGGGAAUCCUCAAUGAAUUUCCCUUCCAAACAUGCCCAGAGUCCACAGGUUUUUAGCAACC
Long non-coding RNA from Gallus gallus (chicken), 1779 nucleotides. Lineage: Eukaryota; Metazoa; Chordata; Aves; Galliformes; Phasianidae. The record is from Ensembl.